This 510-nucleotide ribosomal RNA is filed under the name uncultured bacterium. RNAcentral's name for it is "bacterial SSU rRNA". It matches the Rfam family "Bacterial small subunit ribosomal RNA", at positions 28 to 526 of the family's 1533-position model. The record is from RNAcentral.
GAUGAACGCUAGCGACAGGCUUAACACAUGCAAGUCGAGGGGCAGCAUAAUAAUCAGCUUGCUGAUUAUGGUGGCGACCGGCGCACGGGUGAGUAACGCGUAUGCAACCUACCUAUCAGAGGGGGAUAGCCCAUCGAAAGAUGGAUUAAUACCGCAUAAAACAGGGAUCCCGCAUGGGAAUAUUUGUUAAAGAGAUUCGCUGAUAGAUGGGCAUGCGUUCCAUUAGUUAGUUGGUGAGGUAACGGCUCACCAAGACAUCGAUGGAUAGGGGUUCUGAGAGGAAGGUCCCCCACACUGGAACUGAGACACGGACCAGACUCCUACGGGAGGCAGCAGUGAGGAAUAUUGGUCAAUGGUCGAAAGACUGAACCAGCCAAGUCGCGUGAGGGAAGACAGCCCUAUGGGUUUUAAACCUCUUUUGUAAUGGAAGAAUAAGUCUUACGAGUAGGACGAUGCCAGUACAUUACGAAUAAGCAUCGGCUAACUCCGUGCCAGCCGCCGCAGUAACAC